Molecule: long non-coding RNA, 781 nt
Organism: Theobroma cacao (cacao)
Lineage: Eukaryota; Viridiplantae; Streptophyta; Magnoliopsida; Malvales; Malvaceae
Source: RefSeq, a predicted model, not a curated record
AGCAACUCCCUCCAUAGGCUGCUUUCUGACACCUUCCCUCCGCGAAGAGUAAUGGUUCGCGGCUCACGCCACGAAGGACCCACUGCCCACUGCCACAGCCACAGCCCUCUCUUCUCCUAGCUCACCGCAGAGAAAGAAAUUAAUUAAGGCUAUACAUGGAGACUGGAAUAAAAGAAGAAGAGAUUUGCAGAUAUUAUUGAUGGAAAGGAAAGUACGCAGAUACCCAAACAGUAAUGUGGAGCAUAGGGCGGGUGAAAUGAGAAAUGACACGUUGGGGAGGGAGAUGGUCGAUCUCACUUUAGUGUCCUGUCCGCACUUGUAAAGAUUAAAAAGAGUUAAGGAUUGCAUCUGCAUGAAUAAAUAAAAGUGGGAUUGGUGAAGAAAAAGAAAAAGGACGGCAGGCAGGGCAGGCAUUACAGCUAGAGAUGGAUCAAAUUCGUCCCGGAGAAGCCCCAGACAUCAACUCCUUCUUUUUGUGUUUGUGGUGCCCAAGGCCCAACGCCAGGCCACUAUGUUUCUUCUUUUCUUUUGUCAGAUAUUCUUCCAUGCCCUUUGCUCCCCCUAUUUUCUCCUGCUGUUUUUUUUUUUGUUUUGUUUUCACUUUCCUCCCGGGCCGGGCAAGAGUUUGGGAGUUGCAUGUCUUUGCCAAAAGCGUUAUGAUUCCAGCUUAGUGAAAUGGCGACAAGGAAUUAUUCUUUUGACUCUGUCCAUUUUUCUUUUCUGUACACCUCCUGUACUAACCGGAAUCUAUCCAGCACUGGAUUUUCAUCCCUUCUCUUUU